Molecule: long non-coding RNA, 4590 nt
Organism: Photinus pyralis (common eastern firefly)
Lineage: Eukaryota; Metazoa; Arthropoda; Insecta; Coleoptera; Lampyridae
Exons: 2
Source: RefSeq, a predicted model, not a curated record
CAUAGCUCAAUUAUUUCUGGGCCCUUCCAUGUAAUUCCGUUUCUUAAUAAGUUACAGUAUCGCAUUACGCCUCCCAUCGCCACUACCUGUAAUAAAAAUAUUUCUUUUGUACCAAAUGUUAUCUUUGUGGAAAAACUCUAAUGGUAUUUAUAGCAAGAAAAAUAUUGAUAGCUUAAAAAGAACGCGGUAAAAACUAGGCUUCUGCAAAAAAUGCUUGAUAUACGAUAGUGACUGACCAUGCUCAUUUAUAAGUGAGGAUUAGGUACGCUCAUUCCUAUUGUAAUUUUAUUUCUAGUUGCAGAUAAUCAUUAUCAAAUGGUUAAUCACUUAGCUACAGCAAACUGGCUUAAAUUUUCCGCGCGACAAUAAUGUCAAUUUGUAUGAAUCCGAUUGGCGAACAAUAAAGUCGUAAGGAAUAAAAACUAAAAUACGUUUUUUAUGGAAACGAAAACACAACAGAAACGAUUUUGUGGGAAUUUCAAUUUGAUUACACCUUCAUUUGCAUUCGCAUUAAUUUCAGAAAUUUCCAUAAUAACUUUGGUACAAAAUUUGCAUAUUUGGGAAAGGAAAAGAAAUUACAAGAAUGAUUUAAUUACUUACGUUAAUGAUAGUUCUUGAUAUGAAAAACGCCACUUCUGCUUUGCAUAGGGCGUCAAAUUGCUGAAACAAAUACAACGAGUUAACUUCCGGCAGCUCUUCACACUUUCAAAAUGAAAAUUCGCAAUUCGAAAAGAGGUAGCUACAAAAUUCAAUUACACCCAACGCGGAUAUUUACAUUAAACUUUGUUAACAGCCGCAUUCAGUGUACGACUGUACGCGUUCACAGAAUGAGAGAUAAUUCACAGACAUACCUACCCUAUUUACAUGAUCUCUUAAGACGUUCGAGUAAACCAUCGCAACAGCUUCUAGAGCCAUAAAGGUUAUAAAUCCGAUUAUCCAAGGUAUCACAAACGAUGUAUUUUCCUGAAAACAAAUACAACUGUUAGGAUAGAAACAAACUGUAUAAAGAAAUUCGAACAAAUGGGCAGUACGAUUCAACGAAAGACAUACUUAUUACAAUACCAACUUGUAUCGGGCGUCUUGGGCGACAGCGAAGGGUAUAAGGAGUUGGUUUCAGUUUGGAAGUAGAUUGUUUGUUAAUUUGGAGUUAAUAUAAUUGCUUUACUUGAACCAUAUUGAAAAUUACACGUAUCAGUUUAGUACGAGCUUCGCCACGAUAGAAUAUUCGUUAUUCUUGACCCUAUUUUCAUCUACUGAACAGUUGGACCUUGGUCAAUUUAUUUUACAAUACAGCAUUAAACGUCUAUUAAUUAUCUACAAUAAAUUAGAAAAACAUUUAACAACUUUUGGAAAAACCCUCUAAAAUAUGGCAACACGCCUCAAACUCUCCAUCUAAAUAUCGCACAUAAUAAAAAUUGAAAAGGAAAGUGGUAGCAUUGAACAGGAGACAUAUUUUGAAAGAUCGAUUUAUACAGUUGUGUUUUCUACACCUGAGAAUUAGGUGGCCAAAAAACAACUGCUGCACUAAAGCGUAGUUCUUUGGUUAUGAGCUUUAGUAUGUACGUCGACAUUUUAAACCGAAGCGUAAGGAUUGUGGAAAAUGCAACGAUGCAUACUAACCCUGUGAAACGUUAAACUAUCACCUUAGCAUUGUUUCAUUCGUAGGGCAGGAACGAAAGAAACAAAUCAGCGACAUGACUGUUUUCGUUAAAAAGAACCCAUUUUGUAGGCGUUCAUUAGUUUAGUUUUAAAUUGAUUUGUUUUCGGUCUAACAGUGUGAUCACUCUUGCAGCUCAAAGUUUAAUUAUUUUUUCGAGAUUAAUUCGGGUCCGUUACAAGAGCAAUUGGUGUAGAGUCCGAAAAUAAAUUCGUUAUCAGAUGGUUUGGGUACUGAGUCACGGUAGUGUUAACCGUGGGGUUCGCAUCCGGAAAUAUUAAAACGAAUUCGGUUAUGGAUUACUCACGCAUCCUCUGUGUGGUUCGAAUUAAUAGUUUUUGCAUUACGGUUCGAACAGCAGGGCAACAAAAAAUCAAGUGGUGAUUACGGGUAUUUUUUUAAACAGAAAUUUAAAUCGCGAGUUUCGUGCGUAAACUAACACCCAGAAGUGAAUUAAUUACUUAAAAUACUUGAGCAGUUGAGUAGGCGAAUUCCGUCGCGUGAAAUUAUUACGGUAUUCAGUCGAGGACAAAUUAAUUAAACGUGCCUGUGUAUUUUAUGCUACAAAGGGCUAUUGUUUAGAGUUAUUCCGGAACAAUCUACAACGUCAUUAUGUAUUUCAUUUUUCCGGAUCAAUUGUCGUUGUAAGGAGAGCCGUUCCAAGCUUAUUCUAUAUCAACACCGUCAUCUGUAGAAUGGCAUUUUUUAUGUGACGUACGGUCAGUUUUAUUUAUGUAAAAAAUUAAGGGCUGUAUAUCUUUAAGAAAAAUCGUCGUAGCUUAUAAUUGAUCGAAGUUUCAAAAAUUUUUAAGGAUAAUUUUGGCUUAUAUCUUCUUAAAUCAAUUUGGAGUCGCUUGUAUUACAAGACUUUUGUCGGUUAUGAACUCAUAUGAUUUGGAUUUGAUAUAAAACAUUAGUUUUCAUUUAAAAGGUGUUUUGAUUUAAAGUUCAAAAAGGGCAAUUUCCGAAUGAAUGGUUAAUCUGGUUAAUUAUACUGCGUACAUUGUAUGAAAAUUUGCCAUAUCCUGUUAAUAGAUUUUGCAAAAAAGCACACGUUUUCGUACACGAAAUAUACCAGAAUUAAUGAAACUUUGAUGAAUGAUUGAUGGAAGGUACCAGCUUUAACGAACACCCGGUACUUCGACGAACUCAAACGGGCGAUUCCUUACGAGAAAUUGCAGUCCCGGACAGAUUUUUCGCUAGUAGUUGGAAAUAGGCGGUCAAAUAUCUUUGUAGCAUCGGAAAGCUCUCUUCGAUCUGACGAGGAGGAAAAAAUAUUGUAUAACUUCAGUUCCGUUAAUUAAUGAUUGGCCGAUUUUAGCUGAUCAAUGGUUAUUUAAAACCAGGAUAAAAAUCGGCAAGGUCGCUCGCUCACACGUAGAUAAACCGGAUAAAGUUAACCUGUCUCUUGAUCACAAAAUUUGACACGCGAUCGGUGUUAACUGAACUACCUAAUUUCGGAAUUUAAACUAGGCAAAUUAAGUGAGUAUAAUUACCGGUAUCUAAUCAGACGUGUUGCAGCAAACGGCGUCUGAUUGACAUAGGUUUAGUGUCAAAUGAAGAGCACUUAUUUAGGAUUAAUUUUAACACUGGUCCCAGACUUUUGGGAUAACAGGGGAUCGAGUAAUGAAUUAAAGUUAUAAUUUUUGGGCGUUAUCACCUCAGGUAAUUCAGAUAUUUCUUUUCCGCAUUUUGGGAAUUCUGUAUAAGGAACUGUGUCAACUUGAACGUUAAAUUUUGCAAUUAUACCGUACCAUUUCAUUUCUAUGUAAGCGCUUGAUAUUUUCAUUCCGUUAAUUAUAAAGGGGAUUUGCUUUCUUUAGUUUUGCUUUCAGUUAGAUACUGCUUUGGAAAAUCGCUACCAUUUCCGUGUGCCGUAAUUCUGUUUUAGAUUAUUAGCCAGUGAUCGACCGCCUGUUCCCUGGAGUUUUCCGUUUUCUCCGUCUGAUUACAAGUGGCAGACCGUCCUUGACCAGGAGCAAGGAUCGACAAUCUCCUGGGGGCGCUCGAGGUAAAGCGUCUCGUUUAAUAAGAAGAACGUUCGAUAACAAUGACUAUGGACUAACUAUUUAUAUUCAAUUAUUUGGGGAUCAAAAUAAUUCUAGUACAUUACGGGAGCCAAAUUAAUACUUAUGGACCAAAUGUUUUGAAAAUUGCUUAUCUUAUUUAGUUCGUGGUGAAUCUUUAAGGCGAGUUGGAAUGCGCCUGUUAGAUUAUCUUUUCGUUUCCUUACAAACACUUUUGUGUGGUCCGCACGUUUAAGAGUAGUUUCAUUCAUCACUGACGAAUUUAAUGUCACUUUAAUUGCAAAAUUUUUAAGUAUUACUACCUUCUGGUGAUUAACGGUAUGUUGUGUAAUUCCAGAAUUAUUUCUAAUUAUUUUAUUGUGGAGGAUAUAAUUGAAUUUUGGUGAAUACGAUUUCUAUGCGUUUUAUAUGGGGUUUGAACCAAUUUACUUUUAAAACGUUGGCGACUUGGUGUGUUAUUAUUUUCUAAAUAACCCCAACAUUAUUCGGAGAUAUGUAAAAUUUUGUGUUUUUAAUGAACAGUAGGGUCUCUAGUGUCUAGUGGCCAUUUUUAGGACUAACUAUGGUAAUUCCUCGUUUGAGGUUUCCAGAAAGAUCGUGGAAUGGUUCUGGCCAUUUAAAGAAACUGUGUGGCGCUUAACUAUACGGUAAGUUAAGGAGAAGGACUCCCUUUUUGUAGACAUCAUUCCACAGCUAGCUGACCGCUUAUACACAAGAUUUUGAGGAAAAAAAGCAGUGACAUCUUAACUCACAUCACAUAGUUAAAAAAAUAAAUAACAGAUAAACCAUUGUGUUGUUUGUAAUCGUGUUCAAUUACAAUUUCAAUUUCACUAGCAAAUAAUAUUCCUUUGUGUUCACAUUUAACUAAGUUUGCUUGAUCUAAGCUUCAUUAUACGUUGGAAACAG